AGGACGGGUCGUGUGUCAGU
RNAcentral lists this microRNA (20 nucleotides) under Drosophila sechellia. RNAcentral's name for it is "dse-miR-310-5p". Its record names the gene dse-miR-310-5p. RNAcentral also lists the same sequence under 1 other name. Lineage: Eukaryota; Metazoa; Arthropoda; Insecta; Diptera; Drosophilidae. The record is from miRBase by way of RNAcentral.